RNAcentral lists this ribosomal RNA (253 nucleotides) under uncultured bacterium. RNAcentral describes it as "partial 16S ribosomal RNA". It matches the Rfam family "Bacterial small subunit ribosomal RNA", at positions 524 to 776 of the family's 1533-position model. The record is from RNAcentral.
UACGAAGGGUGCAAACGUUGCUCGGAAUUAUUGGGCGUAAAGCGCACGUAGGCGGCAUUGCAAGUCGGAUGUGAAAUCCCUCGGCUUAACCAAGGAAGUGCAUCCGAAACUGCAGUGCUUGAGUACUUAAGAGGAUCGCGGAAUUCCCGGUGUAGAGGUGAAAUUCGUAGAUAUCGGGAGGAAUACCAGUGGCGAAGGCGGCGAUCUGGGAAGAUACUGACGCUGAGGUGCGAAAGCGUGGGGAGCGAACAGG